Molecule: ribosomal RNA, 460 nt
Filed under: uncultured bacterium
Lineage: Bacteria
Description: partial 16S ribosomal RNA
Rfam family: Bacterial small subunit ribosomal RNA
Source: RNAcentral
CCUACGGGCGGCAGCAGUGAGGAAUAUUGGUCAAUGGCCGGAAGGCUGAACCAGCCAUGCCGCGUGAAGGUCAGUGCCCUAUGGGCGUUAAACUUCUGUUGUGCGGGAGCAAUAAUCGUCACGGUUGGCCAGACGAGAGUACCGUACGAAUAAGCAUCGGCUAACUCCGUGCCAGAAGCCGCGGUCAUACGGGGGAUGCAAGCGUUAUCCGGAUUUGUUGGGUUUAAAGGGUGCGUAGGCUGGGAGGUAAGUCAGCGGUGAAAUGCCCCCGCUCAACGGGGUGAAGUGCCAUUGAUACUGGCUGGCUUGAAUGCGGAUGACGUGGGAGGAAUGUGUGGUGUAGCGGUGAAAUGCAUAGAUAUCACACAGAACACCGAUUGCGAAGGCAUCUCACGAAUCCGCGAUUGACGCUGAUGCACGAAAGCGUGGGUAUCAAACAGGAUUAGAUACCCUUGUAGUC